This 1048-nucleotide ribosomal RNA is filed under the name Bacillus sp. C4. RNAcentral describes it as "bacterial SSU rRNA". It matches the Rfam family "Bacterial small subunit ribosomal RNA", at positions 71 to 1103 of the family's 1533-position model. The record is from RNAcentral. Lineage: Bacteria; Bacillati; Bacillota; Bacilli; Caryophanales; Bacillaceae.
GAAGGGAGCUUGCUCCCGGAUGUUAGCGGCGGACGGGUGAGUAACACGUGGGUAACCUGCCUGUAAGACUGGGAUAACUCCGGGAAACCGGAGCUAAUACCGGAUAGUUCCUUGAACCGCAUGGUUCAAGGAUGAAAGACGGUUUCGGCUGUCACUUACAGAUGGACCCGCGGCGCAUUAGCUAGUUGGUGGGGUAAUGGCUCACCAAGGCGACGAUGCGUAGCCGACCUGAGAGGGUGAUCGGCCACACUGGGACUGAGACACGGCCCAGACUCCUACGGGAGGCAGCAGUAGGGAAUCUUCCGCAAUGGACGAAAGUCUGACGGAGCAACGCCGCGUGAGUGAUGAAGGUUUUCGGAUCGUAAAGCUCUGUUGUUAGGGAAGAACAAGUGCGAGAGUAACUGCUCGCACCUUGACGGUACCUAACCAGAAAGCCACGGCUAACUACGUGCCAGCAGCCGCGGUAAUACGUAGGUGGCAAGCGUUGUCCGGAAUUAUUGGGCGUAAAGGGCUCGCAGGCGGUUUCUUAAGUCUGAUGUGAAAGCCCCCGGCUCAACCGGGGAGGGUCAUUGGAAACUGGGAAACUUGAGUGCAGAAGAGGAGAGUGGAAUUCCACGUGUAGCGGUGAAAUGCGUAGAGAUGUGGAGGAACACCAGUGGCGAAGGCGACUCUCUGGUCUGUAACUGACGCUGAGGAGCGAAAGCGUGGGGAGCGAACAGGAUUAGAUACCCUGGUAGUCCACGCCGUAAACGAUGAGUGCUAAGUGUUAGGGGGUUUCCGCCCCUUAGUGCUGCAGCUAACGCAUUAAGCACUCCGCCUGGGGAGUACGGUCGCAAGACUGAAACUCAAAGGAAUUGACGGGGGCCCGCACAAGCGGUGGAGCAUGUGGUUUAAUUCGAAGCAACGCGAAGAACCUUACCAGGUCUUGACAUCCUCUGACAACCCUAGAGAUAGGGCUUUCCCUUCGGGGACAGAGUGACAGGUGGUGCAUGGUUGUCGUCAGCUCGUGUCGUGAGAUGUUGGGUUAAGUCCCGCAACGAGCGCAACC